Molecule: ribosomal RNA, 253 nt
Filed under: uncultured bacterium
Lineage: Bacteria
Description: partial 16S ribosomal RNA
Rfam family: Bacterial small subunit ribosomal RNA
Source: RNAcentral
UACGUAGGGUCCGAGCGUUGUCCGGAAUUACUGGGCGUAAAGAGCUCGUAGGUGGUUUGUCGCGUUGUUCGUGAAAACUCACAGCUUAACUGUGGGCGUGCGGGCGAUACGGGCAGACUGGAGUACUGCAGGGGAGACUGGAAUUCCUGGUGUAGCGGUGGAAUGCGCAGAUAUCAGGAGGAACACCGGUGGCGAAGGCGGGUCUCUGGGCAGUAACUGACGCUGAGGAGCGAAAGCGAGGGGAGCGAACAGG